GUGAGUUCAGUGACUUUGGAGACGUCACUUUUGAUUCGACGAACGAGAUUUGGCGACUCCAUGGCUGAGAGAUGGAACGAGAGGUAAGAAGCGCUUGUUGAUGAAGAUAGGAUUCGAGAGAACAGAGCCGGACGGCGACGCCUCCGCUACCAAUGACGUCAAUAGAGCGCAUGGAGAGGAAGGAGAGGAAGAAAGGAAAUUGUCACGAUUAUAGUUCAUAAAAUUGGGAAAGUGAUUUUGAAAGUCAAUAGUAAAUUGAAAGAGGAGAGAGAAUAAACCUUUUUGUAUAUUUUUACUUUUUUUUGUUUGGUAACAGAACAGUUUGUGUUUAGUUAGGAAAAUAGAAAUGUGUUUUGGUAGCUUAGUUGAGGGUAGAAAUGACAAAUCAUCUAGAAAAAGUGUGUGUUAUGCAGGAAGUAUCUUUAUGUGUAAAUGAAAAGUGAAAAUGUGUCUGUAAGUGUAAAUUUUUCUUUAUUUAUUUUUAUGUGGG
Molecule: long non-coding RNA, 490 nt
Filed under: Brassica rapa (field mustard)
Lineage: Eukaryota; Viridiplantae; Streptophyta; Magnoliopsida; Brassicales; Brassicaceae
Description: long non-coding RNA (BRAP_LNC007143)
Source: RNAcentral